This is a non-coding RNA of Ornithorhynchus anatinus (platypus), 138 nucleotides long. The record is from Rfam. Lineage: Eukaryota; Metazoa; Chordata; Mammalia; Monotremata; Ornithorhynchidae.
CCCCUCUCAGGAUGGCACCUGGAGAGCUUCCAGUCCUCUACCAGUCUCGCCUACAGGAGGGAAAGUCAAGCAGAGGCCUAUCCAUUCCAUUCCUAGCUUGGGCAGUGGCUGGCGGGUGGAAGGCCAUCUGCUUCAAGU